GUGAACGCUGGCGGUAGGCCUAACACAUGCAAGUCGAACGGCAGCACAGUAAGAGCUUGCUCUUACGGGUGGCGAGUGGCGGACGGGUGAGGAAUACAUCGGAAUCUACUUUUUCGUGGGGGAUAACGUAGGGAAACUUACGCUAAUACCGCAUACGACCUACGGGUGAAAGCAGGGGAUCUUCGGACCUUGCGCGAUUGAAUGAGCCGAUGUCGGAUUAGCUAGUUGGCGGGGUAAAGGCCCACCAAGGCGACGAUCCGUAGCUGGUCUGAGAGGAUGAUCAGCCACACUGGAACUGAGACACGGUCCAGACUCCUACGGGAGGCAGCAGUGGGGAAUAUUGGACAAUGGGCGCAAGCCUGAUCCAGCCAUACCGCGUGGGUGAAGAAGGCCUUCGGGUUGUAAAGCCCUUUUGUUGGGAAAGAAAGGCAGCAGGUUAAUACCCCGCUGUUCUGACGGUACCCAAAGAAUAAGCACCGGCUAACUUCGUG
This 491-nucleotide ribosomal RNA is filed under the name uncultured bacterium. Its description in RNAcentral is "partial 16S ribosomal RNA". It matches the Rfam family "Bacterial small subunit ribosomal RNA", at positions 29 to 507 of the family's 1533-position model. The record is from RNAcentral.